GACCAGACUCCUACGGGAGGCAGCAGUGAGGAAUAUUGGUCAAUGGGCGGGAGCCUGAACCAGCCAAGUCGCGUGAGGGAAGAAGGUACUGAGUAUUGUAAACCUCUUUUGCCAGGGGACAAAGGCGGCCACGGGUGGCCGUAAGAGGGUACCUGGAGAAAAAGCAUCGGCUAACUCCGUGCCAGCAGCCGCGGUAAUACGGAGGAUGCGAGCGUUAUCCGGAUUUAUUGGGUGUAAAGGGUGCGUAGACGGGAAAACAAGUUAGUUGUGAAAUCCCUCGGCUUAACUGAGGAACUGCAACUAAAACUAUUUUUCUUGAGUGUUGGAGAGGAAAGUGGAAUUCCUAGUGUAGCGGUGAAAUGCGUAGAUAUUAGGAGGAACACCAGUGGCGAAGGCGACUUUCUGGACAAUAACUGACGUUGAGGCACGAAAGUGUGGGGAGCAAACAGGAUUAGAUACCCCAGUAAA
Molecule: ribosomal RNA, 468 nt
Filed under: uncultured bacterium
Lineage: Bacteria
Description: bacterial SSU rRNA
Rfam family: Bacterial small subunit ribosomal RNA
Source: RNAcentral